GCCGGUCCUCGGUGGUGGCCUCCGGGCAUGCCCUCCCGUCGCGGGGGGAACGUCCCCGGGGGCUUCGAUCGAAGACCGGU
Regulatory RNA element from Geodermatophilus nigrescens, 80 nucleotides. It matches the Rfam family "Actino-pnp RNA". NCBI's taxonomy places the organism in Bacteria, Bacillati, Actinomycetota, Actinomycetes, Geodermatophilales, Geodermatophilaceae. The record is from Rfam.